GUGCCAGCAGCCGCGGUAAAACGUAGGAGGCAAGCGUUAUCCGGAGUAACUGGGCGUAAAGGGCGAGUAGGUGGUUUUGUAAGUUGGUUAUGAAAGCUCCUGGCUAAACUGGGAGAGGUUGACCAAGACUGCAAGACUUGAGUGGAGAAGAGGUAAACGGAAUUCCGCGUGUAGUGGUGAAAUGCGUAGAGAUGCGGAAGAACACCAGUGGCGAAGGCGGUUUACUGGUCUCCAACUGACACUGAACCGCGAAAGCAUGGGUAGCGAACGGGAUUAGAAACCCCCGUAGUCC
This 292-nucleotide ribosomal RNA is filed under the name uncultured bacterium. Its description in RNAcentral is "partial 16S ribosomal RNA". It matches the Rfam family "Bacterial small subunit ribosomal RNA", at positions 505 to 796 of the family's 1533-position model. The record is from RNAcentral.